GGGUUUGUAGCACAGAGGCUACUGCGAUAGACUUUUAAUCUAGAGGACGAGGGUUCGAGUCCCUUCAAACCCG
This 73-nucleotide transfer RNA is filed under the name Promethearchaeota archaeon. RNAcentral's name for it is "Candidatus Lokiarchaeota archaeon (microbial mat metagenome) tRNA-Lys". It matches the Rfam family "tRNA". From Rfam's summary of the family: Transfer RNA (tRNA) molecules are approximately 80 nucleotides in length. Their secondary structure includes four short double-helical elements and three loops (D, anti-codon, and T loops). The record is from RNAcentral. Lineage: Archaea; Promethearchaeati; Promethearchaeota.